This is a long non-coding RNA of Engraulis encrasicolus (European anchovy), 592 nucleotides long. RefSeq lists it as uncharacterized. The record is from RefSeq and is a predicted model, not a curated record. NCBI's taxonomy places the organism in Eukaryota, Metazoa, Chordata, Actinopteri, Clupeiformes, Engraulidae. The transcript is spliced from 3 exons.
AGCUAGAAACAAUCAAAAGAAAAUAUUUCGUUUUUUAUGAAGUUUAAGUUUCCUUUUGGAGUACGGAGCGUCCAGCUCUGUGAAUGAUGUAAGUUUUGAAGACUAGAGGCUUCCUUUCAUCGAGUAUUUGUUUUGUUUCAAUUCGCCUUAUUCACCCGGAACUUUCUAAAGACGUUGAGGGGUACACUUCAGGGAUACACCCGGCGGCACACCAGCUGUUUGGCGCCUCACUGCUGUGUGCCCAAAUGUAGUCCUACGUCCUCAAAGAGAAACAAAUCCUACCGUGGACAGACUUUCCACCGUUUCGCCAAAGAGCAGGCACUUCGGCGUGAAUGAAUUUAUCACAUCAAGAGGGAUCCUGGUCCAUAUUUCAAGAUCAACGCUGAGACCGAGGUUUGAUCUGAGCACGUUGAGAAGCAAUGCUUUGUUAAGGUCACCCGUGGUAUGACAACGCUAAUAAAGGAUGCUGUGCCUGCCAACUUUGUUCGCCUGGACUUCAGAGAAGCCAAAGAGGAGAAUCAUCAUUCGCAUACCGUGUAUGGAUUCCAUGGAGUAUUCCAUCGAGUAUUUCUUUUGUUUCAAUCGUCUCGGU